This is a long non-coding RNA of Acromyrmex echinatior (Panamanian leafcutter ant), 892 nucleotides long. RefSeq lists it as uncharacterized. The record is from RefSeq and is a predicted model, not a curated record. Lineage: Eukaryota; Metazoa; Arthropoda; Insecta; Hymenoptera; Formicidae.
AUUCAUAAUUAGAUCUUAUAUUCAAGACCGUCUUAAAUACGUGAUACGGUCUUAAGAAGUCACGAACCAAUUAGAAGGCCGCAUUAGUGUCUUAAGAUAUAAUAUUAUUUAAGACGGUUUUGAAAUAAGAAUCGACUAUGAAUGUCAGCUGUAAAGAAGGAGAGGUGUUAUUAAUUGACUUAAUAAGAUCAUACACAUUUAUGGAAUGUUAUGGAACAAAGAAAAUAAAGAUUACAAAGAUGUAAAUAAAUGUGACAAUUCUUGGCAAGAAAUAGCUACUGUAAUGCAUCUACUCGUAAAGAAAUGUAUAAGCCAAUGAUAUAGAUUAUGAGUAUUGUUCAAAGGAAAGACAAAACCAAGAAAAUAUACCAAGGUUCUGCACCUAGAAAGAAGAGACCAUGGGAAUUAUAUGAGCAAAUAUCAUUUAUAGACGAGCAUGUACACAAAAGAAGUGAUAUUUCAUUUUUACAUAGAAGAAACGAGAAGAUAUACCAACAUCAACAGAACUGUAAAUGAACCCAGUUUACAGUUAAAUAGACUGCAGAAAAAGAUUAUGGACAAGAUCGCCUCUAAGUGAUAUAACCAAUAAGGAUGAUAUGCAAAUUGAAUCAUUUAUGUUUACGAUGCCGACAUCACCCACAGGAUCUGAUUCAAAAAAUAAGAACUCUCAAGAAUCGCUUGAUGUGCUGGAAAAAUCACUUAGUUUAGUAUCUCAAUCUGCAAUGGCAGCUCAAAUGUUUUCAAAUGAUAAUGUAAAUGAUAGAGAUGAAGCUUUAACAAACAUGAUUUUGAAUUAUGAAUUACGAAAAAGUUAAAUACUAAUGUAUCACAAAAAUCAAAACUAAUGUUAAUAUUAUCGUGAAGCAUACAAUAAACUAAAUAUUUUAUGUGA